RNAcentral lists this ribosomal RNA (426 nucleotides) under uncultured bacterium. Its description in RNAcentral is "bacterial SSU rRNA". It matches the Rfam family "Bacterial small subunit ribosomal RNA", at positions 354 to 796 of the family's 1533-position model. The record is from RNAcentral.
GUAGGGAAUAUUGCACAAUGGGCGCAAGCCUGAUGCAGCAACGCCGCGUGCGCGAUGAAGGCCUUCGGGUCGUAAAGCGCUUUUCGGGGAGAUGAGGAAGGACAGUAUCCUCGGAAGAAGGAUCGGCUAACUACGUGCCAGCAGCCGCGGUAAAACGUAGGAUCCGAGCGUUAUCCGAAUUCACUGGGCGUAAAGCGCGUGCAGGCGGUUCGGUAAGUUGGAUGUGAAAUCUCCCGGCUCAACUGGGAGGGGACGUUCAAUACUGUCGGACUCGAGGACGGUAGAGGGAGGUGGAAUUCCCGGUGUAGUGGUGAAAUGCGUAGAUAUCGGGAGGAACACCAGUGGCGAAGGCGGCCUCCUGGACCGUACCUGACGCUCAGACGCGAAAGCUAGGGGAGCGAACGGGAUUAGAAACCCGAGUAGUCC